RNAcentral lists this ribosomal RNA (422 nucleotides) under uncultured bacterium. RNAcentral's name for it is "bacterial SSU rRNA". It matches the Rfam family "Bacterial small subunit ribosomal RNA", at positions 358 to 772 of the family's 1533-position model. The record is from RNAcentral.
GGAAUUUUGGACAAUGGGGGCAACCCUGAUCCAGCCAUUCCGCGUGAGUGAAGAAGGCCUUCGGGUUGUAAAGCUCUUUCAGCUGGAGUGAAACGGUACGCUCUAACAUAGCGUGCUAAUGACGGUACCAGCAGAAGAAGCACCGGCGAACUACGUGGCAGCAGCCGCGGUAAUACGUAGGGUGCGAGCGUUAAUCGGAAUUACUGGGCGUAAAGCGUGCGCAGGCGGAUUGUUAAGCAAGAUGUGAAAUCCCCGGGCUUAACCUGGGAAUUGCAUUUUGAACUGGCAGUCUAGAGUGCGUCAGAGGGGGGUGGAAUUCCACGUGUAGCAGUGAAAUGCGUAGAGAUGUGGAGGAACACCGAUGGCGAAGGCAGCCCCCUGGGAUGACACUGACGCUCAUGUACGAAAGCGUGGGUAGCAAA